UGGGGAAUAUUGGACAAUGGGCGAAAGCCUGAUCCAGCGACGCCGCGUGUGUGAAGAAGGCCUGCGGGUUGUAAAGCACUUUCGAUGGGAACGAAAUGUGCCGGGUUAAUACCCCGGUAAGCUGACGUUACUCAAUGAAGAAGCACCGGCUAACUCUGUGCCAGCAGCCGCGGUAAUACAGAGGGUGCGAGCGUUAAUCGGAAUUACUGGGCGUAAAGCGCACGUAGGUGGCGACGUAAGUCGGGUGUGAAAGCCCCGGGCUCAACCUGGGAAUUGCAUUCGAGACUGCAUUGCUGGAGUACGGAAGAGGAGGGCGGAAUUCCCGGUGUAGCGGUGAAAUGCGUAGAUAUCGGAAGGAACAUCGGUGGCGAAGGCGUCUACCUGGCCUAAUACUGACACUGAGGCACGAAAGCGUGGGGAGCAAACAGGAUUAGAUACCCUUGUAGUCCCUGAGCGGGCUGGCAAGGCGCAU
RNAcentral lists this ribosomal RNA (472 nucleotides) under uncultured bacterium. Its description in RNAcentral is "bacterial SSU rRNA". It matches the Rfam family "Bacterial small subunit ribosomal RNA", at positions 355 to 825 of the family's 1533-position model. The record is from RNAcentral.